ACACGUUAUGUUGGGUUCCUAAAAAGAACAUGUUAUGUUGGAAAAAAAAACUGCUAAAACAGACAGAACCAUUGUUACGUACCCAGAGAUCGAAUCCCACGCCUCCCAGGCUCCCACGUACAUUAGCUUUUUCUUUUUCUUUUUGAGCUGCAUAUACGUUAGCUUUUGGCCUUAGUUCUUUAUAUGGGAUUCAAUACCAGAUCGAUCCCGCUUCCCACAAAUCAGUACAAAAUUCCAAUUGAUCGAAACAACUAAAUAAAAUAACAAGCAAUCUUCCCCGUAAAAAAAACAAUGUUUUUUUCUCUAAAAUUCCAAUUGAUCGAAACAACUAAAAUGACGACUAUAAUUUUGAAUAAACCGAAAACUAUGUCAAAAAUGUUUGAAGCAAACUUCUCUAACUGCCUCAUUCGCAUCUUGAUAUCUAUUAUAUACUAAAUAAAAGCAAUAUGAUUUUCUCCAAAUAUCAUGUAACAGAACGUUAGAAGAUCAAACAUGCAUAAGCUGGACUAUCCUUUUAAGUUUUACUAAGCCGC
RNAcentral lists this long non-coding RNA (533 nucleotides) under Brachypodium distachyon (stiff brome). RNAcentral's name for it is "long non-coding RNA (BDIS_LNC005800)". Lineage: Eukaryota; Viridiplantae; Streptophyta; Magnoliopsida; Poales; Poaceae. The record is from RNAcentral.